UGCGUAGGUGGGUUGGUAAGUCAGUGGUGAAAUCUCCGAGCUUAACUUGGAAACUGCCAUUGAUACUAUCAGUCUUGAAUAUUGUGGAGGUCAGCGGAAUAUGUCAUGUAGCGGUGAAAUGCUUAGAUAUGACAUAGAACACCAAUUGCGAAGGCAGCUGACUACGCAUAUAUUGACACUGAGGCACGAAAGCGUGGGGAUCAAACAGGAUUAGAUACCCUGGUAGUCC
This 229-nucleotide ribosomal RNA is filed under the name uncultured bacterium. RNAcentral's name for it is "partial 16S ribosomal RNA". It matches the Rfam family "Bacterial small subunit ribosomal RNA", at positions 568 to 796 of the family's 1533-position model. The record is from RNAcentral.